GAAUCCCGUCAUGCUUUUCCACAGCUUUCUUGAACUUAGUGCCGUGGGGAUUGGUGUGGGAACAAGCCUUGAAUCAGAAACGGGGUGUAAUCCUGCCUAAUCUACGUGCAAAGCUCAAGAAAGCUGUGGGAAAAGAUGGCAGGGUUC
This 147-nucleotide microRNA precursor is filed under the name Picea abies (Norway spruce). RNAcentral's name for it is "miR396g stem-loop (pab-MIR396g)". Its record names the gene pab-MIR396g. Lineage: Eukaryota; Viridiplantae; Streptophyta; Pinopsida; Pinales; Pinaceae. The record is from miRBase by way of RNAcentral.